ACAGCAGUCCCACGGUAACACAGAGGGUGCGAGCGUUAAUCGGAUUUACUGGGCGUAAAGCGUGCGUAGGCGGCUAAUUGAGUCGGAUGUGAAAUCCCCGAGCUUAACUUGGGAAUUGCAUUCGAUACUGGUUAGCUAGAGUGUGGGAGAGGAUGGUAGAAUUCCAGGUGUAGCGGUGAAAUGCGUAGAGAUCUGGAGGAAUACCGAUGGCGAAGGCAGCCAUCUGGCCUAACACUGACGCUGAGGUACGAAAGCAUGGGGAGCAAACAGGAUUAGAUACCCCCGUAGUCCCUGUCUCUUAUACA
Molecule: ribosomal RNA, 305 nt
Filed under: uncultured bacterium
Lineage: Bacteria
Description: partial 16S ribosomal RNA
Rfam family: Bacterial small subunit ribosomal RNA
Source: RNAcentral